AUUGAACGCUGGCGGCAUGCCUUACACAUGCAAGUCGAACGGCAGCACGGGAGCUUGCUCCUGGUGGCGAGUGGCGAACGGGUGAGUAAUACAUGGGAACGUACCCUGAAGUGGGGGAUAACGUAGCGAAAGUUACGCUAAUACCGCAUAUUCUGUGAGCAGGAAAGAGGGGGAUCGCAAGACCUCUUGCUUUAGGAGCGGCCGAUGUCGGAUUAGCUAGUUGGUGAGGUAAAGGCUCACCAAGGCGACGAUCCGUAGCGGGUCUGAGAGGAUGAUCCGCCACACUGGGACUGAGACACGGCCCAGACUCCUACGGGAGGCAGCAGUGGGGAAUUUUGGACAAUGGGCGCAAGCCUGAUCCAGCCAGUCGCCGUCGAGUAGAGAAGGACGU
Molecule: ribosomal RNA, 391 nt
Filed under: uncultured bacterium
Lineage: Bacteria
Description: bacterial SSU rRNA
Rfam family: Bacterial small subunit ribosomal RNA
Source: RNAcentral